This 1692-nucleotide ribosomal RNA is filed under the name Salmonella enterica subsp. enterica serovar Poona. RNAcentral's name for it is "partial 23S ribosomal RNA". It matches the Rfam family "Bacterial large subunit ribosomal RNA", at positions 1154 to 2802 of the family's 2925-position model. The record is from RNAcentral. Lineage: Bacteria; Pseudomonadati; Pseudomonadota; Gammaproteobacteria; Enterobacterales; Enterobacteriaceae.
CGUAUCACCCAAGACAACUUUACGGAGUUAACGAUUGACGGAGCGAAGCGACGUCAAAGCGUUCAUUAAAGUCGAGUUGGCUUAGGGAUACGUUCGUUGGGUAGGGGAGCGUUCUGUAAGCCUGUGAAGGUGGCCUGUGAGGGUUGCUGGAGGUAUCAGAAGUGCGAAUGCUGACAUAAGUAACGAUAAAGCGGGUGAAAAGCCCGCUCGCCGGAAGACCAAGGGUUCCUGUCCAACGUUAAUCGGGGCAGGGUGAGUCGACCCCUAAGGCGAGGCCGAAAGGCGUAGUCGAUGGGAAACGGGUUAAUAUUCCCGUACUUGGUGUUACUGCGAAGGGGGGACGGAGAAGGCUAUGUUGGCCGGGCGACGGUUGUCCCGGUUUAAGCGUGUAGGUGUGUGUUCCAGGUAAAUCCGGUUCACUUUAACACUGAGGCGUGAUGACGAGGCACUACGGUGCUGAAGCAACAAAUGCCCUGCUUCCAGGAAAAGCCUCUAAGCAUCAGGUAACAUCAAAUCGUACCCCAAACCGACACAGGUGGUCAGGUAGAGAAUACCAAGGCGCUUGAGAGAACUCGGGUGAAGGAACUAGGCAAAAUGGUGCCGUAACUUCGGGAGAAGGCACGCUGACAUGUAGGUGAAGUGAUUUACUCAUGGAGCUGAAGUCAGUCGAAGAUACCAGCUGGCUGCAACUGUUUAUUAAAAACACAGCACUGUGCAAACACGAAAGUGGACGUAUACGGUGUGACGCCUGCCCGGUGCCGGAAGGUUAAUUGAUGGGGUCAGCGCAAGCGAAGCUCCUGAUCGAAGCCCCGGUAAACGGCGGCCGUAACUAUAACGGUCCUAAGGUAGCGAAAUUCCUUGUCGGGUAAGUUCCGACCUGCACGAAUGGCGUAAUGAUGGCCAGGCUGUCUCCACCCGAGACUCAGUGAAAUUGAACUCGCUGUGAAGAUGCAGUGUACCCGCGGCAAGACGGAAAGACCCCGUGAACCUUUACUAUAGCUUGACACUGAACAUUGAGCCUUGAUGUGUAGGAUAGGUGGGAGGCUUUGAAGUGUGGACGCCAGUCUGCAUGGAGCCGACCUUGAAAUACCACCCUUUAAUGUUUGAUGUUCUAACGUGGACCCGUAAUCCGGGUUGCGGACAGUGUCUGGUGGGUAGUUUGACUGGGGCGGUCUCCUCCUAAAGAGUAACGGAGGAGCACGAAGGUUGGCUAAUCCUGGUCGGACAUCAGGAGGUUAGUGCAAUGGCAUAAGCCAGCUUGACUGCGAGCGUGACGGCGCGAGCAGGUGCGAAAGCAGGUCAUAGUGAUCCGGUGGUUCUGAAUGGAAGGGCCAUCGCUCAACGGAUAAAAGGUACUCCGGGGAUAACAGGCUGAUACCGCCCAAGAGUUCAUAUCGACGGCGGUGUUUGGCACCUCGAUGUCGGCUCAUCACAUCCUGGGGCUGAAGUAGGUCCCAAGGGUAUGGCUGUUCGCCAUUUAAAGUGGUACGCGAGCUGGGUUUAGAACGUCGUGAGACAGUUCGGUCCCUAUCUGCCGUGGGCGCUGGAGAACUGAGGGGGGCUGCUCCUAGUACGAGAGGACCGGAGUGGACGCAUCACUGGUGUUCGGGUUGUCAUGCCAAUGGCACUGCCCGGUAGCUAAAUGCGGAAGAGAUAAGUGCUGAAAGCAUCUAAGCACGAAACUUGCCCCGA